Molecule: non-coding RNA, 964 nt
Organism: Paramuricea clavata
Lineage: Eukaryota; Metazoa; Cnidaria; Anthozoa; Malacalcyonacea; Plexauridae
Source: the annotation of a GenBank genome assembly
CUGACAUCAUGAAAUGGACAACUAUUUGGCAAUUCCCAUUACCCGUACUUGUUGGUCAUUGCCACAGUAACAGUAUAAAUACAUGUAAUAAUGGUACAUACAUGCUGAUAAUUUUGACAUAGGUAGAAAUGAUUUUGGUAGCAAUGACCAGUUAUGCAUGGGCAUUUUAAGAAUUACCAAUUAUCUUAACAAUUUUUGGAUAUGUCUGCAACAGCUGUGAAGAGUCAUUGGGUAUAAAGGGACCAAGGGUGACAAUCCAUCACAAAAAGGAAGGGAUGGAGGCAGCCAAUACACUAUUUAUCAGCUAUUUAGCUCUUAUAAUAAUUAAUAAUGUCAUAAUGUGAAUGCUGAGAGAGUUUGAGAGAAUACAUCUUCACAACUGUUACAAUAUACCUGACUAUACUUUAAUGAAUUAUAAUAUUUCAGACAUUACUAGCAAACAUGCUGAGGAAAUCCAUUGACAUUCCACUCUCCAAUCCAUAUAUAGUUUUCAACUUUGCCCAAAGUAGCCAGGCACAACAUCCUUGGACAACCCAGAUAAUAAAGCAAAUAACUCGUUGACAAAGCGCAUUAAAGUAAAAUAAAUAACAAUAGCCUUCUUGACAUCACAGUGAAAACAAAACGGUUCAACGAAUCCGUACAAACCCCGAACAUUUCCUACGAUUAUUGAAAACAUGAUAAACUGAGUAAAUAAAUAUGGGUUUCUGAUACUCGUUUUGCCCCCUAUCCGCCGUCAAAUUCCUGCCAGCCACAGCCGAGCUUCCCUUUGUAGUAUUGGCGCUGGAUUUAUGGAAUUAGUCAUCUUCCGUGGCACAUUUAAUCCAGAGAAUCAUGAGCUUCGAGUAAAGUUUCAACUUGCUCGGCACAUUCAUCCACGAAAAACGCGACGUUUUGGCAGCUUUUCUCCCGAGUGCAGCUACCAAGGGCCUCCAUUACUUUCUGAAAAUAAUCUACCAGCCGUUCG